Molecule: transfer RNA, 90 nt
Filed under: bacterium
Lineage: Bacteria
Description: tRNA-Ser
Rfam family: tRNA
About the family: Transfer RNA (tRNA) molecules are approximately 80 nucleotides in length. Their secondary structure includes four short double-helical elements and three loops (D, anti-codon, and T loops). Further hydrogen bonds mediate the characteristic L-shaped molecular structure. tRNAs have two regions of fundamental functional importance: the anti-codon, which is responsible for specific mRNA codon recognition, and the 3' end, to which the tRNAs corresponding amino acid is attached (by aminoacyl-tRNA synthetases). tRNAs cope with the degeneracy of the genetic code in two manners: having more than one tRNA (with a specific anti-codon) for a particular amino acid; and 'wobble' base-pairing, i.e. permitting non-standard base-pairing at the 3rd anti-codon position.
Source: RNAcentral
GGAGAGAUGGCCGAGAGGUCGAAGGCGGCAGACUCGAAAUCUGUUGUACCGCGUGCGGUACCUAGGGUUCGAAUCCCUAUCUCUCCGCCA